This 403-nucleotide ribosomal RNA is filed under the name uncultured bacterium. RNAcentral's name for it is "partial 16S ribosomal RNA". It matches the Rfam family "Bacterial small subunit ribosomal RNA", at positions 28 to 526 of the family's 1533-position model. The record is from RNAcentral.
GACGAACGCUGGCGGCGUGCCUAAUACAUGCAAGUCGAACGCAGGGGGGACGGGGGAGUAACACGUGGGUAACCUCCCAUCAGAGGGGAUAACCCUUGGAAACAGGUGCUAAACCGAUACUGAUGGAUGAACCCGCGGUGCAUUAGCCAGUUGGUGAGGUAAAGGCUCACCAAGGCCACGAUGCAUACCCGGCCUGAGAGGGUGAUCGGCCACACUGGGACUGAGACACGGCCCAGACUCCUACGGGAGGCAGCAGUAGGGAAUCUUGGACAAUGGACGAAAGCCUGACCGAGCAACGCCGCGUGAGUGAAGAAGGUUUUCGGAUCGUAAAGCUCUGUUGGUGGAGAAGCGGUAUCUACCCAGAAAGCCACGGCUAACUCCGUGCCAGCAGCCGCGGUAAUUC